GCUGGUAUGGCUCAGUUGGUAGAGCGCACCCUUGGUAAGGGUGAGGUCCCCAGUUCGAAUCUGGGUACUAGCA
This 73-nucleotide transfer RNA is filed under the name Photobacterium lipolyticum. It matches the Rfam family "tRNA". Rfam says of the family: Transfer RNA (tRNA) molecules are approximately 80 nucleotides in length. The record is from Rfam by way of RNAcentral. RNAcentral also lists the same sequence under 2 other names. Lineage: Bacteria; Pseudomonadati; Pseudomonadota; Gammaproteobacteria; Vibrionales; Vibrionaceae.